Molecule: small nucleolar RNA, 123 nt
Filed under: Dasypus novemcinctus (nine-banded armadillo)
Lineage: Eukaryota; Metazoa; Chordata; Mammalia; Cingulata; Dasypodidae
Description: Small nucleolar RNA SNORA17 (ENSDNOG00000036083.1)
Rfam family: Small nucleolar RNA SNORA17
About the family: snoRNA ACA 17 belongs to the H/ACA family of snoRNAs and is predicted to guide pseudouridylation of the 28S rRNA at positions U4659 and U4598. It shares the same host gene together with ACA43.
Source: RNAcentral
UAUCCCCAGAGAUAUUGCAGAUAUGGAUGCUGUGUCAUAUUUGUGUCAUUAAGUGGCAUAGAGAAGAAGGACUAUGUCUAUGUUCUGCCCCAUGAACAUUUGAAUGAUUAAUUGUCUGAUAUU